This 254-nucleotide ribosomal RNA is filed under the name uncultured bacterium. Its description in RNAcentral is "partial 16S ribosomal RNA". It matches the Rfam family "Bacterial small subunit ribosomal RNA", at positions 524 to 776 of the family's 1533-position model. The record is from RNAcentral.
UACGUAGGGGGCUAGCGUUGUCCGGAAUUAUUGGGCGUAAAGGGCUCGUAGGCGGCUCAGUAAGUCGGGUGUGAAACCUCCAGGCUCAACCUGGAGACGCCACUCGAUACUGCUGUGGCUAGAGUCCGGUAGGGGAGCAUGGAAUUCCUGGUGUAGCGGUGAAAUGCGCAGAUAUCAGGAGGAACACCAGCGGCGAAGGCGGUGCUCUGGGCCGGAACUGACGCUGAUGAGCGAAAGCGUGGGGAGCAAACAGG